Molecule: ribosomal RNA, 407 nt
Filed under: uncultured bacterium
Lineage: Bacteria
Description: bacterial SSU rRNA
Rfam family: Bacterial small subunit ribosomal RNA
Source: RNAcentral
GGGGAAUAUUGCACAAUGGGCGCAAGCCUGAUGCAGCAACGCCGCGUGAGGGAUGACGGCCUUCGGGUUGUAAACCUCUUUUAGUAGGGAAGAAGCCUUCGGGUGACGGUACCUGCAGAAAAAGCACCGGCUAACUACGUGCCAGCAGCCGCGGUAAUACGUAGGGUGCAAGCGUUGUCCGGAAUUAUUGGGCGUAAAGAGCUCGUAGGCGGCUUGUCGCGUCUGCUGUGAAAACCCGAGGCUCAACCUCGGGCCUGCAGUGGGUACGGGCAAGCUAGAGUGCGGUAGGGGAGAUUGGAAUUCCUGGUGUAGCGGUGGAAUGCGCAGAUAUCAGGAGGAACACCGAUGGCGAAGGCAGAUCUCUGGGCCGUAACUGACGCUGAGGAGCGAAAGCAUGGGGAGCGAAC